Molecule: microRNA precursor, 106 nt
Filed under: Schmidtea mediterranea
Lineage: Eukaryota; Metazoa; Platyhelminthes; Tricladida; Dugesiidae
Description: microRNA sme-mir-2161 precursor
Source: miRBase by way of RNAcentral
UUUUCCUUUGUCUGUAAUAGUAUCUUUUUUAUUACGUACAAAAUGCUUGCUUAGGUUGACAUUUUGUGCGUAGUAAUAGAGGUAUCAAUAUAGUCAAUUUAUCGUC